Molecule: ribosomal RNA, 253 nt
Filed under: uncultured bacterium
Lineage: Bacteria
Description: partial 16S ribosomal RNA
Rfam family: Bacterial small subunit ribosomal RNA
Source: RNAcentral
GACAGAGGGUGCGAACGUUGUUCGGAAUUACUGGGCGUAAAGCGCGUGUAGGCUGCUCGGAAAGUCGGAUGUGAAAGCCCUGGGCUCAACCUAGGAAGUGCAUUCGAAACUUCCAAGCUGGAGUGCUGGAGAGGAAGGCGGAAUUCUCGGUGUAGAGGUGAAAUUCGUAGAUAUCGAGAGGAACACCGGUGGCGAAGGCGGCCUUCUGGACAGUAACUGACGCUGAGACGCGAAAGCGUGGGGAGCAAACAGG